UUCGAAAAGCAAUAAAUACAUUUUUAAAUGGUAAUGUUGUGUCACUUCGUUAAUUCCCGAAAUUUUCGGUGCCGCCUUCGUAUGGGCACUCAGGAUUGAAGGCAUUUAUCAGAGAGAAUCAAACAACACAGCUUUUCAAUUGGCCAAUCGGCAGCAUGUAUGAACUUUGGAAAAAAACAUGCACUAUCGAAAAGGACCUUGAAAAUGAAAUUCGAACGGAAGCGUCAUGUUGGAAAAUGGUUCUUCAAAGGUUAUUCGAUGUCAUACUUACCCUUGCAAAGAGUUUUUGGAUAUGCCCAAAGAUAGUGAUUUUUCUUUAGUCUGUUCCCUUUAGUGAAAGGUAGUGACUAAAUCGUGCUUUUUAUGUUUUUAGGAUCUACAAGUUAUCUGGGUCCAAACUGGAAAACCUUCUACUAGAACAAAUUAGAGCGUCCCCGUGCUUCGCCAUCAUUAUGGAUACGACACAGGACAUAUCGAAGGUAUAUCUAUCAGCUAAGCAUUGUUGUGAGGUAUGUAAUGAUAACGAAAUCGGAAAAUGGACAUCUAGUUGAUACAGAAGUAAAAGAAGUGUUUCUAGAAUUUUAUGCAGCUAUCAGACAUAGUACAGCAGGUUUAGUAAGCCAGGUGACUACAUUAUUUAUCGACAAAAAUAUUGAUUUAAAAAAAUAUGUGGGUCAAGGUUAUCAUGGAGCAUAGUGUUAUGAGCAAUGUGUAUAAUGGUGACGCGGAGUAUGUAAAUAUGCGGUGAUAAAUGACGCCGUCAGCUCUUGUGUGGAAAUACAAAUUUUUUCCAACUUUGCAAGAUUUGUAUAAUUUUGUAUAAUUUUUCGGACAUAGCAUCAAGCGUUGAGAUCCACUGUCAAAAAGUCUUUUUGUUUGGGUGAUUUCCAGGAUAGAUUUCGGUUUUUUAAGAUUAAAGGAAGAAAAAUACAAUUCGUCUCAUCGCUAAGGUAAGUAAAGUCUGUGACUAGUUUUCAUUGCCACGGCGCCUCCCGCUAUCACAAAUACCAGUGGUAACACCGACGCUGAAUUAUUAUGGCACAGGGAAGGCAGAUAACGCCGCCGCGGACGCCGCCGAAUCAUUGGUCGUAAGCCGCGUAGCCGUGCGUUUGCCGCCAUUUUGGCCAGAGGACCUCGAAGUUUGGUUUGUACAAGCGGAGGUGCAAUUUCAAAUUUCUUGUAUACGGGAGAAUACUACAAAGUUCUACCAUAUUAAUUCGUAGCUUGAACUGAAGUACAUACGUGAAAUCAAGGACAUAAUAAAAAAUCCACAGGCUACCGCUAGAAAGGUGUGAUGACGUGCUAAACAAACAUAUCUUGCAGAGUACCUAAAUUACAGCAGACCGUUGGGGGCAGAUCGAGGUGAGUGCCACUUGCUUAACUGGCUUGUUUUGAAUGUGCUAUAUUGUAAAAAGCAAAAUGGUUUUUUCCCUUAUAUGCUGAUCGUACAAACAUUACGAUUGAUCUUUUAUAAAAAUAAAUGUUAUAGCACGGUAUCAUUUCUCUUUUAUUCCCAUCACUAGUAGAGACACAAAUCGAACUCUCGAACCGAACUCUUUGCGCUAAGUAUGAAAAUAUAAAAAAGAGGGCCAAGACUGUAGUAUAUUUAUAAUGACGUAAGUCAUGCAUUCAAUAUAACUACCUGUAAGUGGGGGUGUAUUUAAAAUAAACCAGUAUUGAACCAACUUGCGUGUGUUUCACUACAAAGACCAAGUAUAGUACUUUUCGGAGAAGUUUGUACGGAACAGGGGUGGAAUUAAUGUCACUCAAGAAAAGGAAGUGGUAAUGGAGUUAUCUGGGACCAGUGUGAUGGGAUUACCAUCUCACAAUCACUGUGAUGAGGUAUGUAUGAGUAGCUUCUAAUUACAUUAAUAUCUCAAAUUGCCUCAUGAUCAAAUGUCCUCUACCAACCUAUACUUUGCCAAAAGUCACCAAUAAUGAGAGUGACCAGUAAUCUAUCCACCAACUACUUUUUUACUUGAUUUGUAUAUUACAGAUUUUUAAAAUCUAUAGAAUAUUAGAGAACCUGAAAUUGUUUUGCUUGUUUAACACUAUAUUUAUCUAAAGUAAGUAGGUAUUACCUAUUUGAUGUAAGUACCUACCUAAUAAAAAUUCGUGUAGGGGCCUCAACUUAAAUAAGAUCUUUAUGGAAAAUGCAGUGGACUGUAAAACUACCUAUUACUUAACAGAGAAACGAGAGUAAUGGGCAGCUGGCGCUGUAAGCUAUGCAAAAAAUAUGUGUGACGAACUCGAAAUUUCCUUAGAAUCUCGGACAAGAAGGCAUAUUUUUUAAGACGGAAUUAGGGAUGCUAACUUGUCUUGUGAAAAUGAGUUGAGACGAAAGCUGUUUAGAAAUUCAUGAGCGGUUUCAGCAGCUACAGAAUUUAACGGAUAAGUUUACUUAUCUAACGCCGGCUAUAUUUGUAGGGACCACAAAUGUCCCCAUAGCAACUAACAAUUAUAUGUAUGUGUUAGCGGUAAUUAUAUUGCAAUGAUGCUACGCCAGUCUCGAGAUCGUCAGGCUGUCGAUAGCACGUUAGGUUGUAAUCCCAAUAUACGUUAGUCACUUAACUGAUCACGUGUCUUAUUAAUCCUUGCCCUAUAUAGACUCAACAUAUUAUUAGAUCCAGACGACACUAAAUGUAAUCUAGACUACGCAUCUGUCGAAAUUGACGAGCAGGAUUUCAAGCUGGAACGACUUUGACUGCGGACUUUUAUCGCUGUUACAUGCAACGAAAAUAAAUAAAUUAAUGGAGACUCACUUAAAUUAUUUUAAUUUAUCUUAAACUCCAAGCUAGAAGAUACUCUAACCAAUAUUUAAAAAAUGCUACGAAUAUUUUUCACAGUUGCCAUAAGCAAUGCCAGCUGUGAGAGAAGUUUUUCAAAAUUGAAGUUAAUUAAAAGUUAUUUAAGAUCAACAAUGAGUACUUUAAGACUUACUAAUUUGGCUAUCUUGUCUAUUGAGGAAGAGGUGUGCGAUGCUAUAGACAUUGAUGGUGCAAUAAAAGACUUUAAUCUUAAAAAAAGUAGACGUAUAAAUUUUCAAUUAAAGACUUUGGUUUUUAUGCUUAGAAUACUUAUAUUAUUUUUCAAUAAAUAUUACGUAAUAAUUAUAGUUCUUGUUUUUAUUAAAAAUUGAUUUGCGUUUUAUAUUCAAUUCACUAAUUAUUUAAUCUUGUCGAUCGUCCAAUUGUACCUAAUCCUAAGUGAUAGGUAUUGUACCUGUUAUAACAAUGUAUCUAAUGGCAGCGACAUAUGUUACGAUAUACUAGCGCUUUUUUAGGUUUGCGCAAAUAAAUCGUUAUGCCCGAGUGACCACAGAUGGCUCAAGUGGCAGCCACAGACGUUACGAUAUAUUUGCGCAAACCUAAAUUAACGUGUGUGGCUGCCAUAAGUGGUUGAAGUAUAAUAAAAUAUUUUUUGUAUUAAUAAACGCGAUUGUAACAUUUAGAUAAACUUUUUUAUUUAAAAUCUUACCUGUAGAUAGAAUGCAAAAUAAUGAUGACUGCUCUUGUCAAAAAAUAAUCUAGAAUGAAUGUAUAGUAUACAUCAAGGUGAAAUACCUAAAUAAAAGGGCGGCAAAAUUAUCUUCCGCCCCAGACGGCUGACACCCACGCUUAGAUAUGGGAUUUUACCCGGAAAAAACCCAAGUGUGGGAAAAAACCCGGGGAAAAUUCCCGAAUGGGAUAAUAUUCGGGUUUUUUCAUAUUUAGCACAUGUAACAUCUAGGUAAUAUGUAUGUCAGAGGAAGUAAUGAGUCGAUAUGAUUCUUGAUUACAUGCAUAACGCUCAUUAUUAUUAUUUUUACGUUGUAAUUACUUUCAUAAUUCCUAAUUUUAUUUUAUUUCGUUUGUUACGUUUUUCUAUAGCUUUAAAACCUUUUAUAAAAAGAAAUUGUAAUAAAAGGGUAUCGAAACUGUAACUUCACGUAGGCAACGACCAAUCAGAGCAGAGCAUUUGUCUCGAGCGUGGUCGAGGCACCAUCUUUACUUUGAGAAGGCUUGUAUUGUCGGUUGACACAUUUUUGGAGCAUAAAAACGUAUCAAGUUGGAUCGUUGGAGAUAGUUAAAGUGAGAUUGGUGCACCGAACUCGCUGCUCGGUCUAAAGUGUUAUAUUCUCGUAUAAUAUUACUGUGAAGUAAUCAAGUAUUGUUUAAAUUAAACUAGUGAUAAAAACGUAUUCAUUGUGUUUUGUGCUCGCAUUUCAUCCCAAUGAAGCCCACUAAGCCCACAGCCACUAAUGACGAUGCCAUCAGGAAGAGCUUUCCCCGACACGUAUAUCAAAUAGUCAUAAUGAGGUGUAUAUAUCGAAAUGGUUCGCUUAUGAGCACUUUUACUUCUCGGCUGACAAGGUCUCUCCCCGUGAUACUCAAAACUCAAUGUCUAUCGACACAUCGUCGCCUUCUGCAGCAAGAGACACAACAAAUUCAGAACCAUCGCCUUCUGUAAGUAUCUGGAGUCAGUAAGCUUUGGGCUAAAGGCGGAAACAUAUUUACGUGUCGUGUCGUGGCGUGCUCUGGAGUUAUUUCUUUCAUUUCUGAACAUAACCUCGCAGUGUUUAAACGUACAUAAUGUUUUCUUCUGAUUCGGAUAGUGAUUAGUGCUAAUUAUAUUUUAUAUUUAAUAUCUAUGUUGCCAUGUUAUUUAUCCAUUUGAAACGAAGUGUGUAGCCAAGUGUGACCGAAUUGCUUUUGCGUCAUUUGCAGACCUUCGAGGAAUUGCACGUAAAGGCACAAAAGAAGUCGAAUCUAGUUCAUUCCUCCACGACCCUUGUACGAAAUUUCCAUCGAUUUCAGAGUCCAAACUUCCUGGUGGUGUAUAAAUAUUUGCCCUUGUUUUUCGUAAAAAGUUAUGCAAAUAAAUAGUAGCCAGUACCACUUUCGUAGCAAUUUCUGGUUCCAAUAAUUUUGGUUUUCUUAACACUCUAAAUACAGAACGCAUGAUGCCAAAAGCAUUUUCUACUACUACCCUUUGUGCUCUAGAUAGACGGUAAUUGAAUAUUCUUUCCGGAGAACCAUUGUCUGGGUUCCUUCAAACGGUUUCAUAGUAUAAUUGUUUAAAGCAAAUGCUUUGUCAGCUAAUAUAAAUAACAUAGGGCACUUUAAUCAAAUAUGGUGUCUGUAAUAUACAGGAUGCUGGUAACUUUAAUUCAUUAUUUUCCAAUGAUUUGUACAAUGCACUGUUUUUAAAAACUCCACCAUCGGAUAUGCGUCCUUGACAUCCAACGUCUACAUACAUAAAAUUAUAAUUAGCAUCCACCAAGCCAAGCAAUACGAUGCUGGAUUUUUUUUUAUAAUUUAUGUAUUCUCCGUGACUAUUAAUUGGUGAUUGAAGAACAAUAUGUUUGCCAUCGAGGGCCCCCACACAAUGAGGAAAAUGCCACUGGUUUUCAAAAUCUUGUGCUACUUUUAACCAUUCUUCUUCUGAUGAUGGUAUCUGAAAAUUAUGUCACAUAUUUUACUAUUAGGCUAUCGUACUGCUAAAACAUUAUUUGAUGAUUUUAUUCAUUU
RNAcentral lists this unclassified non-coding RNA (5510 nucleotides) under Bombyx mandarina (wild silkworm). Its description in RNAcentral is "uncharacterized LOC114251764, transcript variant X5". The record is from RNAcentral. Lineage: Eukaryota; Metazoa; Arthropoda; Insecta; Lepidoptera; Bombycidae.